Molecule: ribosomal RNA, 253 nt
Filed under: uncultured bacterium
Lineage: Bacteria
Description: partial 16S ribosomal RNA
Rfam family: Bacterial small subunit ribosomal RNA
Source: RNAcentral
UACAGAGGUCCCGAGCGUUGUUCGGAUUUAUUGGGCGUAAAGGGUGCGUAGGUGGCAAAGUAAGUUGGAUGUGAAAUCCUGGGGCUCAACCUCAGAAUUGCAUUCAAUACUGCUUAGCUAGAGAGCUGUAGAGGAGACUGGAAUUUACGGUGUAGCAGUGAAAUGCGUAGAUAUCGUAAGGAACGCCAGUGGCGAAAGCGCUCUACUGGACCGCAACUGACACUCAGGGACGAAAGCUAGGGGAGCGAAUGGG